UCAGAGAAAAACGUUAAUGUGGAUUCCCUUGCUCUGAUGGGAAAUUGUCUUGCAGUGGGUUAACUCAGGGAGUCAUCUGGCUUCGCAAAAGUGGGGAUGAGGAGGGUUGCAUGCUGAAAGGGAAGAGGGUUUGUAACCCAGGUAGAGCUUUAUGCAUUUUAGUCAGUGGGGAGAAGAAAGGGACCUGAAUUUCAAUUUAAAACAAAAAUGAAACUCCUUUACUUCUUCCUUCGGCCAGCAACCUCCAAAAAGGAGGGAGGGCAGAGAUGGCCCCUUUCACGGGGCAGAGCCAGGACACUUGGCUGUGCUGGAGCAGUAAAUAUCAAGGUGGUGGUUCCCCUGUGAUUUUCCACUCUAAACUCAGUAAAUUUGGCUCACACGUUGUUUUUUGGGAUAUGCCCACGGCUGUGCCAGCACUUUUUGCAGCUCACAGCUCCGACUGAUGGGAGAUGUCGGUCCCACGUCAGUCUGGACACCCACGAAAGCUGAGCUCAGCUGCAAAACAGCAAGUUUGGGCUAAUCCCUCUCCUAGCACAGUAUAUCCCUCUCAUGUAUACGCUGCUGCUCUCUAAUAGUAUUAAUAAUUCUCCCUUUAUUUCUCAUUCAAACACUCUUGGAAGGAUCAUCCAAUUUAAAUCACAGCUUCUCUAGUUAGAGUGUGUCACCACGAGAGGGCAAUAAAUCAUCUAAUUACAAUGAUGGAGCUGGUGUCUUUUCACAAAGCCACCCAUGAUGAACUUAAAUGGAUUUUAAACAUUAAUAUAAUAGGCAUUUAGUAAAGAAUGGGAAAGAAAAAGAACAUUUUAAACAAGCCAGCAGGUUCCCCUGAAUGUAUUUGGGAUGCGGGGCUUGGAUUGGCCACCAAAACCAUCCUGAUGUGCAGUGAGACGCUGGAAUUAAAACCCAGGAAGGGAGUCCUGCCUCUUUGAGAUGCUAAUUCAGGUAAAAGCUCAUUUUGAGGAGAGCAGACGUACUGACCCUAAUGAUGCAGAGCUAUUUGGAGAGCUAAUGGAGGGUUACUAAUUUCAAAGCAUAUCAGUCUCAUAAAAAGUGAAAGAAGAUGGUUCUUUACUCAACUGUCCUGAGGGAUGUCUGGGAGUUAACUGGUCCCUUCCUGAGCCAGCUGCUGGCUCCAUGGCCAAAAUGUUCUGCCACUUCCACUGCUGGGGCUUGGCCCUGUGAAAGUCACUCUGUACCCCAGGGCGAUGUUGUCAGGAAUGGGGAUGGAAAGUUUUGUGCUCUGAACCACGACCACUCUAACCCAGGGGGGUAUUUUUGCUGUAAAAUGGCCCCAUUCUUUGCUUUUUCCCUUAGGGCGGUGUAGCAUGAUCUUGGUGGGUGUUUUGUGGCUCCCAUUGGCACGUCCCCAAAUAAGGGCACUGGUGGUGGCAUGAGCAGUUUGUUCCCACCUCCUUUGGGAUGGACACUUGUGGUGACCUUAACUGGUUGCUGGUCAUGAGCUGCUGGAGAAGUGAGGGUGGAAGAUGUCCCCGAGUCACACAACUUUAGCAAAACCUUGUCUUGGCGUUCAUUAGUCUCUGAUGGGUGUCCCACUUUCUCAACGUUCCCAGUCUUCCCAGCUCCUAAAAAGGGUCUGCUUAGUGACAAAGAAUCUGAUUACAACUCAUUACUUAGCUGGGAUCCCAGGAAGCAGACAAGUCUGCCUUUAAUCCCCACUGAUGGGGAAAUCCCAGACUCUGUCUUGGCCUUGUCUCAGCCGUGUCAUCAGCCUAUGGGGCAGCAUCAUCUGCUCAAGAGGUUUGGGGGUUUUUAAGAGCAGAAAUACAAGAUGUCCCUGGCAUAUUUGGGUCAUUUAGUCUCUUCUCCUGCUUGGCUGGAUGAGAUGCUUCGCUGUUACAGAAUCACAGAAUCACGAGGUUGGAAAGGACCCACUGGAUCAUCGAGUCCAACCAUUCCUAACACUCCCUAAACCAUGUCCCUCAGCACUUCAUCACCCGUUCCUUAAACACCUCCAGGGAAGGCGACUCGACCACCUCCCUGGGCAGCCUCUGCCAGUGCCUCCUGUGGAGCUUGGAGAGUGGAAGAGGUCAGAGCUUUUGUACAAGAAUCCAAAAUGUUCCUAAUGAACCAAGUUCAGGAAUGAGCUGAUACAAGUCCUCAAGGCUCAGCGCUUCUGGGUACAGUUAGGAGGGAAGAAUUAGACACACAGGUGUAAAACGGAGAAGAGAUGAAGAAGCAAUGGUAUUGGAGGCCAAGUUGUGAAAGCAGAGAAAAUCACAUUCUAAGGCAAAUGUGGCACUAAAGAAAAACUUAAUGUGGGGAUUCAUUAUAAAAAGAGUCAAAUGUGAACCCUGUAGGGAGUUGUCCUGCCUCACGUGCUCCUACCAGGUAUGAGGGAAAGAACCAUGACCAGACUGGGGCUUCAAAACAUUGUAAGCAAAUUGGACAGAGUCCAGAGGAGAGAAACAGAAGUGAUCCUGGGCGGUGACUGGUGAGAGAAGAUUGGCUACAAGCCUCCUGAAGCAGAAUUUGUCCCUCCUGUUCCUUGGGAAAAGGUUCAAGCAGCACUUGAGGCAAAACUGGUUUGAGCUGGGAGAGCAACGAUGUGGUGAAGGGAGCCACCAUUUUGGAGCUUUCCAGAAGUGGGAGCUCCUGGGGAUGGAUUUGGUCGUUGACACCUUCCUCAGCAUCAAAUUCAUGACUACCAGAAGCAAAGCAAACCUGUGAUGGGAGCAUUAUUAACUCCAUCGUGGUGGUGGAGCUGGGAAGUGCUGCUUGCCAUCACCUCUGGAGGUCCCCUGUUGCUUUGUAUCUCUUCAAGAACAAUGCUGACGAUUAGCCUUAAACCACAACAAAAAGCAAGGAAGCCGAUAUUAUUCUGCCAACAAGACCUACAGCACAGGUGAUGCUUCAAUGUUAUCAAGAAGAGAGAACCUGCAGGCAGGAGAAAGCUUCAGGAGAGGACACAUCUGCUGUAAAUAAAUAAUAGAGAUCAAAGAAAGCCCAUGCUACAAGUUAUUUUGCAAAACAAGGGGCUGGUGAGAGCCGAGCUCAUCACUUUUUACAGCAAGUACGUGAGAGAGUAAUGAGAUAAACGUCAAGGGUUCACGUACAGAUCUAUUCUCCAUGCAGCGUUGUGCAUGUCUGCGUCAUCAAGGAGGGCACAUGGGUCCUCCUGGAAGCAUUUGUCAGUGGCUUCCACUUGCAUGAGCAACGAGAUGGAGGAGGACAUGAGUGGUGCUGGUGCUGCACACCCUGACAACUUUUGUCCAGCAGUCCUGGACUAAUAUUUCCCAGGCUUUCCCCCAUAUCGUCGCUGUGAGGGCAAGUGAGUUCAGUCCCAAACGGAGCAUGAAAUGGAGGAGGAGGCCAUGGAGACACAGAGCCCAGCCAAGUUCUGCGCUGAUUUUCAUAACUAAUAAAGAUCCGGUAUGAAUAUGAGAUUGAAAGACUCAAAGCUGAUUAAAUCUGUUUGAUAUUUGAGGGUUUUCUUCCCCUCCCUCCCCUUUGUUAAAGGACAGUCUCCUCCUUCAAAGUGAGUGAUGGUCUAAAGUCGUAAUGCCGACUAUUGCUGAGAUUCUCACACCAAUGCGACGGGGAGAAGGGAGGGGGGGGAAUAAAAAUCCCUGUAGGGUAGUUUAAAGUCGGCAUGAGUAGUGUGUAAUCUACCCAACAGGAUUGAUCCAGGUCAGGCAUUAAAGUCUAAAAUGGAUUAAACAAAAGACAUUCCCCUUGUAACAAGAAGGAAAAACUUCAAAGGUGGGAUUUGUUCUUGUUAUGACAAAGGAAGUGGAUUUACCAAGUGCCUGGGGGCACACCCCUCCGCGGCUUUCAAUUUGCUCGACUUGCUAUGAAGAAACAGGACAAAAUGCGUGGGGGUUUUUGCCGCUCGCUUCGGCGCUGCCGGAGCCCUCCCUGGGUCACACCACAGCUGAGGUUGGUGCAGAUCAUUCCCGGCCAGAAGAAAUGCAGCUGUGAGCUGGCACGUCCCCAGUGCUGAGCCUACGGGGAGGAGAGGGGACCUUCAGGGAAACAAAUCUCACCAGGUCUCCAGGUGUGUCUCCCUACGAAACCUGUGAGCAGCUCACGUCAGCGCAGUUGUGUCAUUACAUACAGACGUUAACAAAUAUCCUGGCAUCACCCAGCUGGGCACCACAAAAGACAACCAUGGAUUUCAUCCGAUGCAUCCACGAUCUGGAAAGAGAUUAUUUUUCCUGAUGCUGAGCUGACUUUUCUGACCAUCUCAAUGCAGACGUGGAGUCAAGUGUGGGGUCCCAGGAGGGAAAAGGAGGGGUGAAUCACAUUGUGGCUCUCAGCUCUUCACACAUCUGAGAGCGUAGUGCGCCCCAGCUGAGAACUUCAAUUCACUUAGUGCAAGAUGAGAUGGCAGCUGCUUUGGACUGAUAAAACAAUAAUAAUCGUGAUGAAAUAAUAGGAUUAAUGCCAGCUAUUACUGUUUAACCAAAAGGUCAUUUUGACAGAUGUAACUUUUAUCAGGAAGCAUCAAAAUAUCAGAUACGCUUUUGAUUUUUUUGAGGAGAGGGAACUAAGAAGACAAAAAGAGGACUUCGAACACGACAGGACUUUUCUGGGCUCCUGCAUUUGGCUGGAAGCAGCUCCUGGUCUGCAAACAGCAGCUCUUCAGCUUCGGUGACAUCGUGGCCAAAGCUCCACCGUGACCAGCACCGGGUGCUGCUGCUCCAUUUCAGAAACUCACUCACAAACCAUGUCCCUGUGGCUGAACUCUUAAGAUGUUUAUUUUUCUCUUACAUCACGAAACUGUGGGCAGGUUUCUGACUUCUGCACCAGAAAACACCUACCUGCCUUGUCUUGAAAACCCAAAGCAACAUUGCUUGGGUUCCCAUCUGCCCUCGGUGGCCUGUUGGGUCCCCAUGUGCCUCCCCAGCUCUUCAGGGACUGCACAAGUUCUGCCAACCCUGACUGCUCUGCCCUUCCUCCUGGACCGGCUUACAGCCCACUGGAAGGAUGAUGGAAUUAAACUACAUAUACAUGAAAACAGGUUGUAUAGCUCUGCUCCUUGCUUAGGGCUGUGUCAGAAGGAGAAAAGUUGAUUGAGUCUUUAAUCAUUGAAUCAUUAAUGUUGGAAAAGACCUCUAAGAUAAAGUCCAGAUGUCAGCCCAACACCGCCAUGCCUACUAAAAUUUAUUAAUUUAAUUUAUUUAAUUAAAUUUAAUCGUGUGUCUCCCUUCUGCUGGUGGUUUUGCUGGAUCUCCAGUUCUGUGCUUUCUCUCUGGAGUGUGUCCACGCCCUUCACUGUAACACUGGACUUGCCCAGUGCGUCCCAUAUCCCUCCUGGAGGAGGGACCUUGCUUCAUCCCACUGCUGGGGGACACAGUCUGGGCUCUCCAUCCUUCCUCACUGCCUCAUGGGCUGUGCUUUUUCCCUCCCCUGAAGGUCAGACUGGUGUCCUUGCACCUGCUGUGCAUGUGUAUCCUCACCACCACGGGUACCACGUCCCUGGAGCUCACUGUUGACUUCCCUACAUCACGACAGCUUCCACCCAAACACGCUCUGUCAGCCUCAGGCUACACAUUCCAGAAGCUUCCAGGAUUCUUUGGCAUUCUGGGGCCAGAGUUGGCAGUCCCUCCCUCCCGCCUGCUCACGCUGCCGCCUCCCUGCUCCUGUGGGUGGUUUCUGGCUCGCUGGGUGCGCACCUGCACGCAGAGCCCGGCUAAAACCAGUGCACCCCAGUUCAGCAGGGGGAGCAAUAAAACUGCUUUAUCUUUUGUUUUGCAAGGAAGAGGUGCUUUCCAGUGAAACCCAGAAGUGGGUCUUCUCUUGGCUUUGGUGGCUGAAGUGCGGGACUGUGCUAUUUGCAGCCGAGAAGCUGCUCUCCCACUGCUCCUGGAUCAAAUGCAAACAGGAGCCGUGGGAGGCCAGCCCGGCUCUGACCGUGCGAAUCCAGCUGAGGGAAAGAGACAAAAUCCCCAAAUCUCAAAAUAAGGAAAACAAAGAUAUCCAAGUAAUAAAAUCUGCAAGAAUCACAAAGACAACAUAACUCAGAUCUCAGCUGGCUCAAAGAAAGUGUCCAUUAACAAGGGAUUAGUGGGAGGGAAGUACACAACCAGUCAAUAGGAAGUGAAAACACACCGCACAGUCUCCUAAUAUCACAGUCCAAGGCAGGGUUAGGGUGAAGGCUCUGUUGGGCGAGUUAGAAUAAGGGCUACUUCAGAAAUCUAUCAAAUGAAAAAUCAAGCUCUGCAAAGCCCGACUGUGCUGUGGCGCCUGUUUUUUAAGAAACCUUGAGGACUUGUAGCUCUCAGUUCAAAGAAAAAACAUCCUGUUCUUUCGCCGUGCACACCUGUGCAUCCCUCGCGCGCUGCACUUCACCGUUACAACUCAGAAACAGAGACCCUUUUCUUGUCUUGAGGGCUGUGCAUCUCCUUGCACAGCUGGGUCUGGUCUGGACUUGGACCUUUCAGAUGUCCUCGUAACACAAAUAGGAAUAAAAAAUGAACGAACUGUUCUCCCUACUGCUGUUUUCCAGCUAGUCCAGACGGGUCCAGACCUCUUCUUUCCCUAAACUUCAUUGAAAUCAGAUAUCCUUUGAAAGUCACUGCAGGAUUGUGGAGUAUUUCUUAAAAAGCGGGACAGGAGAAAUGUAAUUUUGUCUUCUGUGUAAUUAAAA
This is a long non-coding RNA of Cuculus canorus (common cuckoo), 6610 nucleotides long. RefSeq lists it as uncharacterized. The record is from RefSeq and is a predicted model, not a curated record. The transcript has 4 exons. NCBI's taxonomy places the organism in Eukaryota, Metazoa, Chordata, Aves, Cuculiformes, Cuculidae.